This is a non-coding RNA of Thamnophis sirtalis, 156 nucleotides long. The record is from RefSeq and is a predicted model, not a curated record. NCBI's taxonomy places the organism in Eukaryota, Metazoa, Chordata, Lepidosauria, Squamata, Natricidae.
AUUCAACUCUUUAUUGCAGGCAACACUAACAUGGGGUCCUUAUUUGUGGUUUCAGAUGCUAAGAGUAGCCACAUCAACACUUUCAGUGUGCGACUUCCUUGGUGAAAAGAUUGCCUCUGUUUUGGGCAUCAGUACACCAAAAUACCAAUAUGCCAU